UACGUAGGGUGCGAGCGUUGUCCGGAAUUAUUGGGCGUAAAGAGCUCGUAGGCGGUGUGUCGCGUCGGCCGUGAAAACCUGGGGCUUAACUCUGGGCGUGCGGUCGAUACGGGCAUCACUAGAGUUCGGCAGGGGAGACUGGAAUUCCUGGAGUAGCGGUGAAAUGCGCAGAUAUCAGGAGGAACACCGGUGGCGAAGGCGGGUCUCUGGGCCGAUACUGACGCUGAGGAGCGAAAGCAUGGGUAGCGAACAGG
This 254-nucleotide ribosomal RNA is filed under the name uncultured bacterium. RNAcentral's name for it is "partial 16S ribosomal RNA". It matches the Rfam family "Bacterial small subunit ribosomal RNA", at positions 524 to 776 of the family's 1533-position model. The record is from RNAcentral.